This 428-nucleotide ribosomal RNA is filed under the name uncultured bacterium. RNAcentral's name for it is "bacterial SSU rRNA". It matches the Rfam family "Bacterial small subunit ribosomal RNA", at positions 42 to 465 of the family's 1533-position model. The record is from RNAcentral.
UCAGGCCUAACACAUGCAAGUCGAGCGGCAGCGGGAAAGUAGCUUGCUACUUUUGCCGGCGAGCGGCGGACGGGUGAGUAAUGCCUGGGAAAUUGCCCAGUCGAGGGGGAUAACAGUUGGAAACGACUGCUAAUACCGCAUACGCCCUACGGGGGAAAGCAGGGGACCUUCGGGCCUUGCGCGAUUGGAUAUGCCCAGGUGGGAUUAGCUAGUUGGUGAGGUAAUGGCUCACCAAGGCGACGAUCCCUAGCUGGUCUGAGGGGAUGAUCAGCCACACUGGAGCUGAGACACGGUCCAGACUCCUACGGGAGGCAGCAGUGGGGAAUAUUGCACAAUGGGGGAAACCCUGAUGCAGCCAGGCCGCGUGUGUGAAGAAGGCCUUCGGGUUUAAAGCAAUGGAGCGAGGAGGAAAGGUUGAUGCCUAAUAC